UCGGCUGUAGGCUCUUUGUAUGCAAAGCGUGGUGCUGACCUCAAAUCUGUUGGUCGAAAUUUGUCAAAGCCAUGAUAUGUGAAGAAAUGCAAUCAUUGUUAACCGGUGUGUAAAUAGGAAUCAUUAUGCUGUUCAUAGCUUAAUUGCUAUUGUAUAAUAGGAGUUGUUUGGGAUAUCACAAUUUGAAAAAUAGAAAUACGAGAUCUCUGAUCCUCCAUUUCGUUUUAAAACAUUUUUGAGGCCCAGAUAUCUUCGGAUAAGAAAUCUGGUAGGAUGGCUGUGGUGGGAACAAUUCAUUAUUACCAUUCUGUGAUAAAUACAAAGAAUUACAGUGGAGAAAAUAUGAGAACCUGGGGUACAUCGUCAAUGGUUUCAAGGGGGAAAUUCUGGGCAAGCAUGUUGCUAUGACCUCGGUAGCGACUAUGGUCCGUCUGGUUUAUAAUUGAAGGCAAGGUUUUUUUAAACCUUUAUUUGUUUGAUUUAUUUUGGUGGCAAUAUUAAUACCCGUUUUCCCAAACAGAUAUUUGUUUAAGCAGCAACCAGAUACCUGAUUCAUCCUCAUUUUUGAAGAAGCAUAUAAG
This 581-nucleotide long non-coding RNA is filed under the name Citrus x clementina. RNAcentral's name for it is "Citrus clementina (C. clementina) long non-coding RNA (CCLE_LNC004703)". The record is from RNAcentral. Lineage: Eukaryota; Viridiplantae; Streptophyta; Magnoliopsida; Sapindales; Rutaceae.